RNAcentral lists this ribosomal RNA (408 nucleotides) under uncultured bacterium. RNAcentral's name for it is "bacterial SSU rRNA". It matches the Rfam family "Bacterial small subunit ribosomal RNA", at positions 354 to 776 of the family's 1533-position model. The record is from RNAcentral.
GUGGGGAAUAUUGGGCAAUGGGCGCAAGCCUGACCCAGCAAUGCCGCGUGAAGGAAGAAGGCCCUCGGGUUGUAAACUUCUUUUAUCAGGGACGAAGGAUGUGACGGUACCUGAUGAAUAAGCUCCGGCUAACUACGUGCCAGCAGCCGCGGUAAUACGUAGGGAGCAAGCGUUAUCCGGAUUUACUGGGUGUAAAGGGCGCGUAGGCGGGAUGGCAAGUCAGAUGUGAAAUCCAGGGGCUCAACCCCUGAACUGCAUUUGAAACUGUCGUUCUUGAGUACUGGAGAGGUUGACGGAAUUCCUAGUGUAGCGGUGAAAUGCGUAGAUAUUAGGAGGAACACCAGUGGCGAAGGCGGUCAACUGGACAGCAACUGACGCUGAGGCGCGAAAGCGUGGGGAGCAAACAGG